Molecule: ribosomal RNA, 623 nt
Filed under: Mammaliicoccus sciuri
Lineage: Bacteria; Bacillati; Bacillota; Bacilli; Caryophanales; Staphylococcaceae
Description: bacterial SSU rRNA
Rfam family: Bacterial small subunit ribosomal RNA
Source: RNAcentral
AGUCGAGCGAACAGAUGAGAAGCUUGCUUCUCUGAUGUUAGCGGCGGACGGGUGAGUAACACGUGGGUAACCUACCUAUAAGACUGGGAUAACUCCGGGAAACCGGGGCUAAUACCGGAUAAUAUUUUGAACCGCAUGGUUCGAUAGUGAAAGACGGUUUCGGCUGUCACUUAUAGAUGGACCCGCGCCGUAUUAGCUAGUUGGUAAGGUAACGGCUUACCAAGGCGACGAUACGUAGCCGACCUGAGAGGGUGAUCGGCCACACUGGAACUGAGACACGGUCCAGACUCCUACGGGAGGCAGCAGUAGGGAAUCUUCCGCAAUGGGCGAAAGCCUGACGGAGCAACGCCGCGUGAGUGAUGAAGGUCUUCGGAUCGUAAAACUCUGUUGUUAGGGAAGAACAAAUUUGUUAGUAACUGAACAAGUCUUGACGGUACCUAACCAGAAAGCCACGGCUAACUACGUGCCAGCAGCCGCGGUAAUACGUAGGUGGCAAGCGUUAUCCGGAAUUAUUGGGCGUAAAGCGCGCGUAGGCGGUUUCUUAAGUCUGAUGUGAAAGCCCACGGCUCAACCGUGGAGGGUCAUUGGAAACUGGGAAACUUGAGUGCAGAAGAGGAGAGUGG